ACGGAAUAGAUACCCAGGUAGUCCCAGCCGUAAACGAUGCUCGCUAGGUGUCAGGCAUGGCGCGACCGUGUCUGGUGCCGCAGGGAAGCCGUGAAGCGAGCCACCUGGGAAGCACGGCCGCAAGGCUGAAACUUAAAGGAAUUGGCGGGGGAGCACAACAACGGGUGGAGCCUGCGGUUUAAUUGGACUCAACGCCGGACAACUCACCGGGGGUCGACAGCAAUAUGUAGGCCAAGCUGAAGACUUUGCCUGAAUCGCUGAGAGGAGGUGCAUGGCCGUCGCCAGUUCGUACUGUGAAGCAUCCUGUUAAGUCAGGCAACGAGCGAGACCCGUGCCCACUGUUACCAGCAUGUCCU
This 356-nucleotide ribosomal RNA is filed under the name uncultured bacterium. RNAcentral describes it as "bacterial SSU rRNA". It matches the Rfam family "Archaeal small subunit ribosomal RNA", at positions 723 to 1078 of the family's 1478-position model. The record is from RNAcentral.